AUUGAACGCUGGCGGCAGGCCUAACACAUGCAAGUCGAACGAGUGGCGGACGGGUGAGUAAUGGCUGGGAAACUGCCCGAUGGAGGGGGAUAACUACUGGAAACGGUAGCUAAUACCGCAUACCAUCGGAUGUGCCGAGAUGGGAUUAGCGAGUAGGUGGGGUAACGGCUCACCUAGGCGACGAUCCCUAGCUGGGCAGAGAGGAUAACCGGCCACACUGUAACGGAGCCACUGUCUACAUGCCUACUGUGGGCAGCAGGGGGAAAUAUUGCAAAAUGGGCGAAAGCCUUAUACCGCCCUGCCGCGUGUAUUAAGAGGGCCUUCUGAUUCUAAAGUACUUUCAGCGAGGAUGCGUUACUCACAGAAGAAGCGCCGGCUAACUCCGUGCCAGCAGCCGCGGUAAUAC
RNAcentral lists this ribosomal RNA (406 nucleotides) under uncultured bacterium. RNAcentral's name for it is "partial 16S ribosomal RNA". It matches the Rfam family "Bacterial small subunit ribosomal RNA", at positions 30 to 526 of the family's 1533-position model. The record is from RNAcentral.